GAUGAAGAACGUAGUGAAAUGCGAUAAGUAAUGCGAAUUGCAGAAUCCGUGAGUCAUCGAAUCUUUGAACGCACAUUGCGCCCCCUGGUAUUCCGGGGGGCAUGCCUGUCCGAGCGUCAUUGCUGCCCUCAAGCCCGGCUUGUGUGUUGGGUCUCGUCCCCCUUCCCGGGGGGACGGGCCCGAAAGGCAGCGGCGGCACCGUGUCCGGUCCUCGAGCGUAUGGGGCUUUGUCACCCGCUCUGUAGGCCCGGCCGGCGCUUGCCGAUCAACCAAAACUUUUUUCCAGGUUGACCUCGGAUCAGGUAGGGAUACCCGCUGAACUUAAGCAUAUCAAUAAGCGGAGGA
This 345-nucleotide unclassified non-coding RNA is filed under the name soil metagenome. Its description in RNAcentral is "partial contains 5.8S ribosomal RNA, internal transcribed spacer 2, and large subunit ribosomal RNA". The stretch from base 1 to 119 matches the Rfam family "5.8S ribosomal RNA", at positions 35 to 154 of the family's 154-position model. The record is from RNAcentral.